GAAGGAUAUCCUGAGUUUAUUCUAAGCUCAUAUUUGGGAAGAAGGAAUUUGUUCUGCUGAAUCCACACCAGAGAACAGCUCUGGCCCAACAGUGUAGACGGCAGCCGGUUGAUGAACUCUGCAGACAAGCACUUUCUCUAGUUGCUGGAUUUAAUCUGAAGAAUUUAAAUAAGAGCCGUUCUGAUGUGUAUAUUUCACAUUUCCCAGAUUAUACUUCGGUAAAACACAUAAUCCACUUGAGCCAGUUAAUGAAAAGUGGGCUUUUCAGAUAUUUUGACUAUGGCUCGAAGAACAUAGAUAUCUAUAACCAGACAACUCCACCGUUCUACAGGAUAGAGGCCAUCACUGUGCCAGUUGCUAUGUGGACUGGAGGACAAGAUUGGGUUUGCCGGCCAAUGGAAAUUGCACAAUUACGCUUUCGAACAACUAAUGUUGUCUAUUAUAAGGAGAUUCCUGAUUGGUCUCACUGGGAUUUUAUUUGGGGCAUUGAUGCUCCCCAACGUGCAUACAAGGUAAUCCUUGGCCUGAUGGAGAAAUAUCGAUGAAGCCAUCUGGAAUUCCACGGUUCUCAUUGUACCUGUGGAAGUGCCAGACACUCAAGUGUUUUUUGUUUCCUGAGUUUACGUUGACUGUCUUUAUUGUUCAUUUGAUUUGUGUUCAAAUUUGCUUAUCCUUCUGUUUUAUUUAUGAACCAUGGUGUGUUUCUUUCCUACUGAAGAAUUAAGUCUAGAUCCUACUGCUAACUUAAUGUAGAUCCUAAAGUUAUAAACAAUGUAACUUCCUAGGCUUUUAACUUGUAGGCGGGUUUGCAAGUUUUCUUAAAUAAAUAAAUCCGAUCUGAACACUG
Pantherophis guttatus is the source of this 847-nucleotide non-coding RNA. The record is from RefSeq and is a predicted model, not a curated record. Lineage: Eukaryota; Metazoa; Chordata; Lepidosauria; Squamata; Colubridae.